This 379-nucleotide long non-coding RNA is filed under the name Pongo abelii (Sumatran orangutan). RNAcentral describes it as "lncRNA (ENSPPYG00000030157.1)". Lineage: Eukaryota; Metazoa; Chordata; Mammalia; Primates; Hominidae. The record is from RNAcentral.
GGUUCUUCUGCUUCUUGGUGCUCCAGAAGGGGCUGGUGGAGGUGGGAGAGAGGACUCUGUACAGAAGCCAUAAAGAGAGCGCUCUCUCCUUGAGUCACACGUGGGAAGUGGCCCUCAACUCCUGGGGCCCUCCAAGGUCCUGGGACCAGGGAGCUACUGCUGGAGCAGAAGGCUGGAGACAUCUUCAACAGCCUGAGUGCCGUCCGUGACAGGCCUACUAAGCGCCAGGUGCUGGGAAAUGGAGGAACGCUGAUGUGAGUGGAGGAAGACGUUUGCCAGAUUUCCAAGUCCCCUUAAUGUCUGUCCCUCUCUUCUACAACGGGGGAAGAAGCCCGUGUAACUGUAUGGUACACAUGUGCCCUGCUGAGCAAAUGUCCCA